This 2691-nucleotide ribosomal RNA is filed under the name Escherichia coli. Its description in RNAcentral is "bacterial LSU rRNA". The record is from RNAcentral. Lineage: Bacteria; Pseudomonadati; Pseudomonadota; Gammaproteobacteria; Enterobacterales; Enterobacteriaceae.
UUAAGCGACUAAGCGUACACGGUGGAUGCCCUGGCAGUCAGAGGCGAUGAAGGACGUGCUAAUCUGCGAUAAGCGUCGGUAAGGUGAUAUGAACCGUUAUAAGUACCCCGAGGAAAAGAAAUCAACCGAGAUUCCCCCAGUAGCGGCGAGCGAACGGGGAGCAGCCCAGAGCCUGAAUCAGUGUGUGUGUUAGUGGAAGCGUCUGGAAAGGCGCGCGAUACAGGGUGACAGCCCCGUACACAAAAAUGCACWUGCUGUGAGCUCGAUGAGUAGGGCGGGACACGUGGUAUCCUGUCUGAAUAUGGGGGGACCAUCCUCCAAGGCUAAAUACUCCUGACUGACCGAUAGUGAACCAGUACCGUGAGGGAAAGGCGAAAAGAACCCCGGCGAGGGGAGUGAAAAAGAACCUGAAACCGUGUACGUACAAGCAGUGGGAGCACGCUUAGGCGUGUGACUGCGUACCUUUUGUAUAAUGGGUCAGCGACUUAUAUUCUGUAGCAAGGUUAACCGAAUAGGGGAGCCGAAGGGAAACCGAGUCUUAACUGGGCGUUAAGUUGCAGGGUAUAGACCCGAAACCCGGUGAUCUAGCCAUGGGCAGGUUGAAGGUUGGGUAACACUAACUGGAGGACCGAACCGACUAAUGUUGAAAAAUUAGCGGAUGACUUGUGGCUGGGGGUGAAAGGCCAAUCAAACCGGGAGAUAGCUGGUUCUCCCCGAAAGCUAUUUAGGUAGCGCCUCGUGAAUUCAUCUCCGGGGGUAGAGCACUGUUUCGGCAAGGGGGUCAUCCCGACUUACCAACCCGAUGCAAACUGCGAAUACCGGAGAAUGUUAUCACGGGAGACACACGGCGGGUGCUAACGUCCGUCGUGAAGAGGGAAACAACCCAGACCGCCAGCUAAGGUCCCAAAGUCAUGGUUAAGUGGGAAACGAUGUGGGAAGGCCCAGACAGCCAGGAUGUUGGCUUAGAAGCAGCCAUCAUUUAAAGAAAGCGUAAUAGCUCACUGGUCGAGUCGGCCUGCGCGGAAGAUGUAACGGGGCUAAACCAUGCACCGAAGCUGCGGCAGCGACGCUGAUGCGUUGUUGGGUAGGGGAGCGUUCUGUAAGCCUGCGAAGGUGUGCUGUGAGGCAUGCUGGAGGUAUCAGAAGUGCGAAUGCUGACAUAAGUAACGAUAAAGCGGGUGAAAAGCCCGCUCGCCGGAAGACCAAGGGUUCCUGUCCAACGUUAAUCGGGGCAGGGUGAGUCGACCCCUAAGGCGAGGCCGAAAGGCGUAGUCGAUGGGAAACAGGUUAAUAUUCCUGUACUUGGUGUUACUGCGAAGGGGGGACGGAGAAGGCUAUGUUGGCCGGGCGACGGUUGUCCCGGUUUAAGCGUGUAGGCUGGUUUUCCAGGCAAAUCCGGAAAAUCAAGGCUGAGGCGUGAUGACGAGGCACUACGGUGCUGAAGCAACAAAUGCCCUGCUUCCAGGAAAAGCCUCUAAGCAUCAGGUAACAUCAAAUCGUACCCCAAACCGACACAGGUGGUCAGGUAGAGAAUACCAAGGCGCUUGAGAGAACUCGGGUGAAGGAACUAGGCAAAAUGGUGCCGUAACUUCGGGAGAAGGCACGCUGAUAUGUAGGUGAAGUCCCUYGCGGAUGGAGCUGAAAUCAGUCGAAGAUACCAGCUGGCUGCAACUGUUUAUUAAAAACACAGCACUGUGCAAACACGAAAGUGGACGUAUACGGUGUGACGCCUGCCCGGUGCCGGAAGGUUAAUUGAUGGGGUYAGCGCAAGCGAAGCUCUUGAUCGAAGCCCCGGUAAACGGCGGCCGUAACUAUAACGGUCCUAAGGUAGCGAAAUUCCUUGUCGGGUAAGUUCCGACCUGCACGAAUGGCGUAAUGAUGGCCAGGCUGUCUCCACCCGAGACUCAGUGAAAUUGAACUCGCUGUGAAGAUGCAGUGUACCCGCGGCAAGACGGAAAGACCCCGUGAACCUUUACUAUAGCUUGACACUGAACAUUGAGCCUUGAUGUGUAGGAUAGGUGGGAGGCUUGGAAGUGUGGACGCCAGUCUGCAUGGAGCCGACCUUGAAAUACCACCCUUUAAUGUUUGAUGUUCUAACGUUGACCCGUAAUCCGGGUUGCGGACAGUGUCUGGUGGGUAGUUUGACUGGGGCGGUCUCCUCCUAAAGAGUAACGGAGGAGCACGAAGGUUGGCUAAUCCUGGUCGGACAUCAGGAGGUUAGUGCAAUGGCAUAAGCCAGCUUGACUGCGAGCGUGACGGCGCGAGCAGGUGCGAAAGCAGGUCAUAGUGAUCCGGUGGUUCUGAAUGGAAGGGCCAUCGCUCAACGGAUAAAAGGUACUCCGGGGAUAACAGGCUGAUACCGCCCAAGAGUUCAUAUCGACGGCGGUGUUUGGCACCUCGAUGUCGGCUCAUCACAUCCUGGGGCUGAAGUAGGUCCCAAGGGUAUGGCUGUUCGCCAUUUAAAGUGGUACGCGAGCUGGGUUUAGAACGUCGUGAGACAGUUCGGUCCCUAUCUGCCGUGGGCGCUGGAGAACUGAGGGGGGCUGCUCCUAGUACGAGAGGACCGGAGUGGACGCAUCACUGGUGUUCGGGUUGUCAUGCCAAUGGCACUGCCCGGUAGCUAAAUGCGGAAGAGAUAAGUGCUGAAAGCAUCUAAGCACGAAACUUGCCCCGAGAUGAGUUCUCCCUGAC